RNAcentral lists this ribosomal RNA (293 nucleotides) under uncultured bacterium. RNAcentral's name for it is "partial 16S ribosomal RNA". It matches the Rfam family "Bacterial small subunit ribosomal RNA", at positions 775 to 1067 of the family's 1533-position model. The record is from RNAcentral.
GGAUUAGAUACCCUGGUAGUCCACGCCGUAAACGAUGUCUACUAGCCGUUGGGGAACUUGAUUCUUUAGUGGCGCAGCUAACGCACUAAGUAGACCGCCUGGGGAGUACGGCCGCAAGGUUAAAACUCAAAUGAAUUGACGGGGGCCCGCACAAGCGGUGGAGCAUGUGGUUUAAUUCGAUGCAACGCGAAGAACCUUACCAGGUCUUGACAUCCUGCGAAUUUUCUAGAGAUAGAUUAGUGCCUUCGGGAACGCAGUGACAGGUGCUGCAUGGCUGUCGUCAGCUCGUGCCG